Molecule: ribosomal RNA, 235 nt
Filed under: uncultured bacterium
Lineage: Bacteria
Description: partial 16S ribosomal RNA
Rfam family: Bacterial small subunit ribosomal RNA
Source: RNAcentral
CGGACGGGUGAGUAACACGUGGAUAACCUGCCUCACACGGGGGGAUAACAGUUAGAAAUGACUGCUAAUACCGCAUAAGCGCACGGUACCGCAUGGUACAGUGCGAAAAACUCCGGUGGUGUGAGAUGGAUCCGCGUCUGAUUAGGUAGUUGGUGAGGUAACGGCCCACCAAGCCGACGAUCAGUAGCCGACCUGAGAGGGUGAUCGGCCACAUUGGGACUGAGACACGGCCCAA